RNAcentral lists this ribosomal RNA (301 nucleotides) under uncultured bacterium. RNAcentral's name for it is "partial 16S ribosomal RNA". It matches the Rfam family "Bacterial small subunit ribosomal RNA", at positions 509 to 807 of the family's 1533-position model. The record is from RNAcentral.
CAGCAGCCGCGGGAAUACGAAGGGUGCAAGCGUUAAUCGGAAUUACUGGGCGUAAAGCGUGCGUAGGCGGUUUGUUAAGUCUGUUGUGAAAUCCCCGGGCUCAACCUGGGAAUGGCAGUGGAUACUGGCUCGCUAGAGUGUGUCAGAGGAUGGUGGAAUUCCCGGUGUAGCGGUGAAAUGCGUAGAGAUCGGGAGGAACAUCAGUGGCGAAGGCGGCCAUCUGGGACAACACUGACGCUGAGGCACGAAAGCGUGGGGAGCAAACAGGAUUAGAUACCCCCGUAGUCCCUGUCUCUUAUAC